Molecule: long non-coding RNA, 1348 nt
Organism: Callithrix jacchus (white-tufted-ear marmoset)
Lineage: Eukaryota; Metazoa; Chordata; Mammalia; Primates; Cebidae
Source: RefSeq, a predicted model, not a curated record
CUGCUCUUUGCAAGGUGAGGCUUAAAUCAAGAUCCUCAACCUUGGCGCUAUUGAGAUGCUAGUCUUUUUGCGGAAGGCUACCCUGCACAUCGUAAGAUGAAACAGUACACAAUUGCCUCAGAGAAGCACCAUGUGUUUCCAAAGUGUGAAUCUGAAAACCAUCCAUCUGGGCAUGUUGGCAUCUUCCUGAGUUGUAUGUGAUUGAAAGAAAUGUAUUCAACAUUUUGCAACUCUUUGGCUGCAUGAGAAAGAGAAUAAGGUGUCUCCUGCUAUGGAAAUUUUCUCUUUUAAUGGAAAUUAUUUUGCUAUCAAAACUCUAGAAUUGAAUUGAAGCACUACUCUUCAGACCAGAAAAAUGUUGCAGAAUAUGCAUUUCAGCACUUUUUGGAGGGCCGUAAGUCUGUACGCUGUUGGUAGGAAGAAACUCUCUUCUCUCCAGCAGAAAUGAGAAAAAAGGGGAAUUGUUACAAAAUUAACAUGGGACCAGCUUAAGAGAUGUACUGAGAGGAAAAGAGAGAUUAGAAUAUCAGCCAGGAGGCAAUAAUAUAGAAAAAGUAAAGUUUUCAUAUCUUGACAAAAGAAAAUGUUUACUUUGUCAAAAAGUUUUUUACAUUGUAUAUUAUGAAUAAAUUUGAAAUUCAAAUUAUUGUCCAACCAUGAUGAAUAUAUUUGCUACUCUGACCAGUUUUUAGAAUGCUGUGAUGAGAGUUGUGUGAUCUCCAAGUUUGUAUAAUAAAGAGAAAACCCUGAAAAUCUUUCACUUUGUCAUGCCUGCGCUGAGGGCAGAUGACUCACUGUAUGAAUUCAAGUUAAAUCACUUAACCUUUUUCUCUUAUUCAACCCAUCUGGGAAGCUGAAUACAAGCACUUCACCAUGAAACAGAUGGCGAGUGAGUCUAAGCUACAUUUUCCCAGAUUAAAAAAAGAAGAAAAAUGUGUUAUAAGGACUAAACGAACCAAAUGUGGAAAAAAAUCCAAGGAUUACAUGGAAGAGAGCUAUAAGCUGGAUCAGACCUUUUCACCUGUAAAAAAACAGUAUAAUGCUCACAAAAUAAGUCCUAGGAGAUGAUUUGGGUACAAAAUCAGUAAAAUCUUUUCAUAAGCAUCAUAUGUGUAAUGGGGUCAUUAAUGAUGGUAUUUAUAGUAAGUAAAAUGCUAUUUGUUUGCUUGUUCAUUUACCUGUAUGUCUCAGAAACAAAUUCUAUAACUUUAGGAUACUUUUAGGUUAUCCAUUUGAUAACUGUAAAGAUAAAUGCUAAGAAAAACAUCUUGAGAAAAUUUAUGAGACCCACCUAGAUUGUAGCUCCAAUGAAAUUUAACAUGUUUGAAAAUAAAAACUUUCCAAUAAG